Molecule: ribosomal RNA, 563 nt
Filed under: uncultured beta proteobacterium
Lineage: Bacteria; Pseudomonadati; Pseudomonadota; Betaproteobacteria
Description: bacterial SSU rRNA
Rfam family: Bacterial small subunit ribosomal RNA
Source: RNAcentral
AACUUUGGACAAUGGGCGAAAGCCUGAUCCAGCCAUGCCGCGUGCGGGAAGAAGGCCUUCGGGUUGUAAACCGCUUUUGGCAGGAACGAAACGGCGCUCGCUAAUACCGGGCGCUAAUGACGGUACCUGCAGAAUAAGCACCGGCUAACUACGUGCCAGCAGCCGCGGUAAUACGUAGGGUGCAAGCGUUAAUCGGAAUUACUGGGCGUAAAGCGUACGCAGGCGGCCAUGUAAGACAGGUGUGAAAUCCCCGGGCUUAACCUGGGAACUGCAUUUGUGACUGCAUGGCUAGAGUUUGUCAGAGGGGGGUGGAAUUCCACGUGUAGCAGUGAAAUGCGUAGAGAUGUGGAGGAACACCGAUGGCGAAGGCAGCCCCCUGGGACAUGACUGACGCUCAGGUACGAAAGCGUGGGGAGCAAACAGGAUUAGAUACCCUGGUAGUCCACGCCCUAAACGAUGUCGACUAGUUGUCGGGCCUUUACAGGCUCGGUAACGCAGCUAACGCGUGAAGUCGACCGCCUGGGGAGUACGGUCGCAAGAUUAAAACUCAAAGGAAUUGACGG